RNAcentral lists this ribosomal RNA (707 nucleotides) under uncultured bacterium. Its description in RNAcentral is "bacterial SSU rRNA". It matches the Rfam family "Bacterial small subunit ribosomal RNA", at positions 1 to 683 of the family's 1533-position model. The record is from RNAcentral.
AGAGUUUGNAUCANUGGCNUCAGGGACNGAACGGCUGGCGGCGUGCGUUAACUACAUGCAAAGUAGAANCGCUGAAGAGAGGANGCUUGCUCUUCUUGGAUGAGUUGCGACACGGGUGAGUAACGCGUAGGUAACCUGCCUUGUAGCGGGGGAUAACUAUUGGAAACGAUAGCUAAUACCGCAUAACAAUGGAUGACACAUGUCAUUUAUUUGAAAGGGGCAAUUGCUCCACUACAAGAUGGACCUGCGUNUGUAUUAGCUAGUAGGUGAGGUAACGGCUCACCUAGGCGACGAUACAUAGCCGACCUGAGAGGGUGAUCGGCCACACUGGGACUGAGACACGGCCCAGACUCCUACGGGAGGCAGCAGUAGGGAAUCUUCGGCAAUGGGGGCAACCCUGACCGAGCAACGCCGCGUGAGUGAAGAAGGUUUUCGGAUCGUAAAGCUCUGUUGUAAGUCAAGAACGAGUGUGAGAGUGGAAAGUUCACACUGUGACGGUAGCUUACCAGAAAGGGACGGCUAACUACGUGCCAGCAGCCGCGGUAAUACGUAGGUCCCGAGCGUUGUCCGGAUUUAUUGGGCGUAAAGCGAGCGCAGGCGGUUUGAUAAGUCUGAAGUUAAAGGCUGUGGCUCAACCAUAGUUCGCUUUGGAAACUGUCAAACUUGAUGUGCAGAAGGGGAGAGUGGAAUUCCCAUGUGUAGCGGUG